RNAcentral lists this ribosomal RNA (608 nucleotides) under uncultured Thelephoraceae. RNAcentral's name for it is "eukaryotic LSU rRNA". The stretch from base 193 to 346 matches the Rfam family "5.8S ribosomal RNA". The record is from RNAcentral. Lineage: Eukaryota; Fungi; Basidiomycota; Agaricomycetes; Thelephorales; Thelephoraceae.
GCGAAGCUGUUGCUGGCUUCCAAACCGGGAGCACGUGCACGUUCCGUCUACGCAUCCACUCACACCUGUGCACCCUUUGCGGUUCUGUGGUCUGGGGGACCGCGAGGUCUCCCUUCCGUGGUUCUGCGUCUUUACACACACGCCGUAGCAAAGUCUUUUGGAAUGUGCGCCGCGUUUAACGCAAUAAAAUACAACUUUCAGCAACGGAUCUCUUGGCUCUCGCAUCGAUGAAGAACGCAGCGAAAUGCGAUAAGUAAUGUGAAUUGCAGAAUUCAGUGAAUCAUCGAAUCUUUGAACGCACCUUGCGCCCCUUGGCAUUCCGAGGGGCAUGCCUGUUUGAGUAUCAUGAACACCUCAACUCUCUACGGUUUGCCGUGGAGAGCUUGGACUUUGGAGGUUUGCUGGCCCUCGGUCGGCUCCUCUCAAACGAAUCAGCUUCCCAGUGUUUGGUGGCGUCACGGGUGUGAUAACUAUCUACGCUCGCGAUCCGUCCGCCUCGCAACCUUCAGCGAUGGAGGUUCGCUGGAGCUCAAAAACGUCUCUCCUCAGCGAAGACAGCUUUUCUGACGUUCGAUCUCAAAUCAGGUAGGACUACCCGCUGAACUUAA